AGCAGCCGCGGUAAUUCCAGCUCCAAUAGCGUAUAUUAAAGUUGUUGCAGUUAAAAAGCUCGUAGUUGAAUUUCAGGCCAGGCUGGACGGUCCGCCCUCUGGGUGAGCACUGUCUGUGGUCGGGUCCUACCUUCUGGCGAAGCGGCAUGGCCUUAACCGGCCGUGGCGGGGGAACCAGGACUUUUACUGUGAAAAAAUUGAGUGUUCAAAGCAGGCACGCGCUUGAAUACAUUAGCAUGGAAUAAUGGAAUAGGACAAUGGUUCUAUUUGUUGGUUUCUAGGACCGUUGUAAUGAUUAAUAGGGAUAGUUGGGGGCAUUAGUAUUCAAUUGUCAGAGGUGAAAUUCUUGGAUUUAUUGAAGACUAACUACUGCGAAAGCACUUGCCAAGGAUGUUUUCAUUAAUCAAGAACGAAGUUAGGGAUCGAAGACGAUCAGUAUACCGUCGUAGUCUUAACCAUAAACUAUAGCCGACUAGGGAUCGGAUGAUGUUAAUUUUUANGUACUNAUUCGGCGUACCG
RNAcentral lists this ribosomal RNA (519 nucleotides) under uncultured Paraglomus. RNAcentral describes it as "bacterial SSU rRNA". It matches the Rfam family "Eukaryotic small subunit ribosomal RNA", at positions 569 to 1088 of the family's 1831-position model. Lineage: Eukaryota; Fungi; Glomeromycota; Glomeromycetes; Paraglomerales; Paraglomeraceae. The record is from RNAcentral.